Pezoporus flaviventris is the source of this 4372-nucleotide RNA transcript. It is a transcript of the gene named EvC ciliary complex subunit 2, with no coding region annotated. The transcript has 21 exons. NCBI's taxonomy places the organism in Eukaryota, Metazoa, Chordata, Aves, Psittaciformes, Psittacidae. The record is from RefSeq and is a predicted model, not a curated record.
AUGCGAAGGCUGCUGGCCAGCCUGCUGCUGGCGGUGCUCCCCGUCGGGCCCUCCGUGCCCGCCCAGCCCCUCGCAGCGGCCACCGAGCGCGCCCGGGCCUCGCCGAGCCCCGAGGAAGGGGCCGGGGUGCUGGGCCCGCCCCGGGACCCCUGCGCUCAGACGGCGGCUGCGGUAAUUAAAGAUAAUCUUUGGCUUCAAAAAGAGAUGGGAUGUCUGGGAAUGACAGCAAUGCCAUUACUUCUGGCCACUCAAGAAAGUGAAGCCCCUCACCAGUUCUUGACCUCUGCAGCCUCAGACAAUCAGUGGAGCCAUUCGCUGUUUGCAUUGGUACCCUCAUGGACAAAUAAGAUUUUGUUCAAACGAGAGUCUUCUGUUAACCUCCACCUGAUUAAAGAUGUGUCCAAUAUGUCAGUUUCUUCUGGAUUUGGAAUAACCCUUCAGAAAUGUGGUGUGGUGGAUGUUGAACAUGACCCUCAAAUCGCACACAUCACACUUCUGAUUAAUAACACCAACACGCUGCUCUCAACAAACAUUACAGAUCUUAUCCUCCUGGACAAUAUCACUGGUCUUCACGUUCAAAAAAACAGUGGCAAUAAGACCACAGAUGGCAUACAGAUUUAUAGCAAAGGAGUCUUGCAAGGUGGAGAAUACUUUGCAGUCAACUACUCUGCACUUCUUGAUGCAAAAGAAACAUGGGAUGGCAGGGUCUUGAUGCUGCCUGCAAAGCUAACUUUCAAGAGUUCAUCACAGAAUGCAACACAUCUCGUAUCACUGACAGCAUCAUUCACCAUAACUGAAGAAGAAAAGACCAAGAUUUUGUACAGCCAUGCCAUCCAUGCUUCAGGGUUCUUCAUUGCUUUUUUUAUUUCACUCGUACUGACAUGUGCUGUCUUUUUCAUCAUUUACCGAACCCAAAUAUUAAAAUGGAGUUUCCGCAGUAAAAACCAGGAGAUGCAGCAUGAACUCAUCCAGAAUCACAAACUGGAGCAUUCUCAGUUUAAUUCAGGUGAUCUCUUUAGUGAAGAUAUAAUUAUGAACGACCAAAUCAUUGAUAUUCUGUCCUUUGAAGAACCUGGAAACAUGCUUCAGGCUUUAGAAGACUUGGAGGUUGCCAGCCUGACACGGGCAGAUGCCGAUCUGGAGGCAUAUCGAACGCAGAUAUGCAAAGAAGUGAUUGCUAUGAUGAUGAAGAACAUGGUCUUAAGUCACAGCCUCUUUCCUCAUGUGGAGAAGAAGAUGAGUUCAAUUUUCAAAAAGCAGUUUCUUGCAAUGGAGAAGGAGAUUCAAGAGGAAUAUGAAAGGAAGAUGGUGGCUUUAACAGCUGAGUGUAAUCUAGAAACCAGAAAGAAAAUGGAGGCUCAGUGCCAAAAAGCUAGAGCUGUAAAUGAAGAGGCUGAGGAAUUAAUGAAGAAAAUGAAUGAAAAGCCUGCUGUAGAAUACAGAAGUCUUCUGGAUAGACUUCACACACUGGAGCAGGACCAUGUGAAGAGGCUCCUUCUGGUAAAGCAGGAGGAAUAUUUUGCAAAGGCUUAUAGAGAGCUGGCUGUUUGCCAGAGAAAGGAGCUCCAUAAUAUCUUUUUUACACAGAUAACAAAUGCUACUUUCAAGGGAGAACUGAAGUUGGAAGCAGCUAAAACGUUAGUGGAAGGUUACUCUAAAAUACAGGGAGACAUUGAAGAGCUAAUGGAUUUUUUGCAAGCUAGCAAGAAAUAUCAUCUGAGUAGAAGAUUUGCUUACAGAGAGUAUCUCAUAAGUAAGAUACGGUUAAGGGAUUCUCAAGCAUCUGCUCUUAUAAAUGCAGCAGCAGCCCAGAUACCAAGUCUCAUUAAUAAGAUGGAAAGGGCAGGUCAUCUACCUGAAUGUCAUUUGGGGAUGCUGCUGGACCGAGCUGAGGCUGAAAUUAAUUCUGUUAAACAGAAAUUCGAUCAUGAUUUAAAACAAGAAAAGCAAAAGCUUCGCCAGAAACUCAUUACAAGGCGAAGGCGGGAAGUGCUGCAAAAGCAGAAAGAGCAUCGGAAGGAGCAGCUGUCCCUUGGAGAGACCUUCAGAACUACUAAGGAGGUCACUCACUACCUGGGCCACUGGAAAAAUCUUUUGAGUGAUCACACCAUUGAAUUUGAAGAGCUUACUGAAAAACUUGACAAUGAGGCCAGUGAAGAGCUGAAAGAGCUUGUGUUUGGUUUAACAGAGAAAGCCAUUGAAGAGCUUAAACGUGUUCAGUGUGGAGUAUUUGUGCAAGAACUGGUAAAGCUCAGUGUGCCAAAGGUGUUCCUGCUAGAAGCUGUAGAGGAGCAUAAAAAAGAGAUGGUUGAUAAACAUGAGCAGCUUGAAAGGGAAGAGCAUGAAAAGAGCGCAGCCACUGAAGAGCUGCUUCAGCUCACCAGGCAGAAGCUAAGCCAAGAGUUAGAAACAAGCAUUUUGGAACAAAAAAAAUUAAGGAGCUGGGAACAAUCAGUAUUCAUGCAACUUCUAAGUUUACCCCUCUCACUAUCAGAAGAAGAAUUGCGUAGAAUGAGGCAAGAGUUGCAUUGCUGCUUCUCUCAGGUGGACAGCAGCUUAGCUUGGCCCAAAAUAAGAGCGAGAACCUUGCUUCAGGCUUUCGAGGUCGAGCAGAGGGAUGCGGAGGUGCUGAAAGUCGACCAGAAUUUAGCAGUGACCAGUAAACAGCCGCAUUCUAAAGUGAAAAAAAAUGGAUCCAGGAAUAGAAAUAAGAUGGAUAUUUUGAAGAAAUCUUUACAGGACAAAAUUUUCAUUUAUGAAGACUCUGUGAAAGAUGAAAAUUUGAAUAAGGUUAAGCACGAGUUGCUGCUUGAGAAAGAGUGUCAGCUGCGCGACCUGGAAAAUAAACUUGGAGAGUAUAUUGCUGCUUUAGCUUUUCAGAAGACUGUUAAAAAAUCCAAAAUGUUGGAGCUGUAUACUGCUAUCAUAAGUGUGCAAGCUUUGCUCUUCGAACAACUGAGCACGUCAAAAGCCCUGUCAAAACUGGAAUGUAUUCAGAUUUUAGAAGCACACAACCCUGAGAUUGAAGAACUUGACAGGAAGCUGGAGUAUGAGAUGUUGCAUAAGGAGUUAGCUCAGCAGCAGCACCAUCUAAUGAGCAGACAGAGGUGGAGUCUGGAUGGCUUGGGACUUUCAAGUGAAGCUGUAGAAACAAAUGCAGACAGACAGGUGACAGUUCUGCUAAGACAGGCUAUGAAUAAAUGUGGGCAAUUUAUAAAUCUGCAUCAGCAAAGCUUGAGAGAUGAGCAAUGGAAUUGCGUGGUGCUUGAAGAUCUCCUGGAAAAUAUAGAAAUGGAUGCAUUAUUGGCACUUUAUAGUCAGGACAUCCUUUUGGUAAAAUGCCUUCUUGCAAAAGAAAAGAGUGAUUUAAUAAAGGCAUCUCAUGGGUGUGUUUGCUACUCUGGAAAUUGGUCAUGCGAAGCAAGAGGCAGAGUUCAAAUAUUUACUGUGACACAUUGAAUCCAUUGUGGACAAAGAAAUUGACUGUCUUCAAGCAUGGUGGGACCUUGUAGGUUUUUUAUGUGACAUGGGCUUUGUGGUCAUCUCCUCAUCAAGUUUAUAGGAGAGUCUGCAGAGCAGAGGUGACUCGGCUGUCGUGAGUCAUCUCGAACAUUUGGCACAUCUUACCUAACUUCACCUACCUGAGAUGCAUGGAUGGUUUGAAUAGACUACAACAGUUUUUUUUUCUGGCAUCCUUUGAGGAAUUUAACUUGUUUUAUUUUGCUCAACUCUUUUCUUUCCAUGUAGUUCUCAAUACAUUGGAGACUUUUCAUAUUUGUUACACAGACACGAGGUGUCUGCAGAAACAGCCCUGGAGACACAGUAGUUUUGAAAGCAGAGCAGAAAACAACAGGAUUUUGGGGUUUGGAGGGGGAAAUGGGGCUGGUUGAUUGUCUAGGGAGCAACUACAUUUGAACUUAGUCUAUUUGAGCACUAUGUUAAUAUGGUCUACUACUGACCUUUGGGCAAAAAAAGAGAGGACAUUUGGAAAAAAAAUAAACCCCAAACCAAAACAAAACCAGAUUUUUCCUUCACCUCUUAACAAAUGUUAUUACAAGCUGCUCUCUGAGUUUAUCACAGAAUCUUGUGUUAAGAGAGGCUGCACAAUGAAGUGCUCAGCCCUGGCAACAUAUAAAUGUUGUCAUUAGGUUUCAGAGGCUAUUUUUUCUCCCUUAAUUUUGCAGAGCCCGGAAUGCUAUAUAGCUUCAUUACUAUCUUGAAAGCAUUUCUUCAUAAUAGUACAAGCCAUAAAUUAACUAAACCUUACAUGCUAGAUUAUGGUUGCAUUGUGUUUUUUCAGACCGAAGGGCAUCAAAAUCAUAGAAUAGUUAGGGUUGGAAAGGACCUUAAGAUCAUCUAGUUCCAACCCCCC